This is a non-coding RNA of Myodes glareolus (Bank vole), 605 nucleotides long. Lineage: Eukaryota; Metazoa; Chordata; Mammalia; Rodentia; Cricetidae. The record is from RefSeq and is a predicted model, not a curated record.
UCCUGUUAAUAACCUCCGUGUUGUUGAUACUCACAGAAUCGGGUAGGCUAGCUGAGACAAACUCCUCCUUGUUAACUAGAAAGUAGUCUGGAUCACUCGCCAGGGUGUUUUAUGAGUCUUGUUGCUGCUGGGUAGAAUCAGCUACAGUAUUAACCACAACUGCUGUGGUUAGGUGUACCACGGACAGCAGGGCAUGGAUACCUAUCUAGAGUCACCUGGCUAGAGGAAAUCUCAACUGAAGAAUUACUUCCAUCGGACUGGCAUGUGGGGCUAAUUUUGGUAAACUCUGGAAGAAACUGAGGACUGAAAGAAGUGAAAGAGCUUCUCACUAAAGGCAUGUUACUACUCAGCGGCCACCUGGGGCUCGAUCCCUCUGGACUCUUCUGGGAGAGCGCAGAACAAGUGUUAGAUCAUCUUUUGCAAGCACUGGAAGAGCAGGAAACACCAAAGAAUGUUACUGCCUGAUCCAAGCGAGGAAAUGACAAAUUUAAGGAAAUACAAACUGAGUUUUUGAAAUCUUUAUGUUAUGCUAAGUAUUAUUUGAAGAUUCUUCUCCUUAUCAGAGUAAUUAUCAACUGGUCCAUUGUGACACAAAAUAAUAAAGC